UACGGAGGAUGCGAGCGUUAUCCGGAUUUAUUGGGUUUAAAGGGUGCGUAGGCGGUCCGUUAAGUCAGCGGUAAAAUUGCGGGGCUCAACCCCGUCGAGCCGUUGAAACUGGCAGACUUGAGUUGGCGAGAAGUACGCGGAAUGCGCGGUGUAGCGGUGAAAUGCAUAGAUAUCGCGCAGAACUCCGAUUGCGAAGGCAGCGUACCGGCGCCAGGCUGACGCUGAGGCACGAAAGCGUGGGGAUCGAACUGG
Molecule: ribosomal RNA, 252 nt
Filed under: uncultured bacterium
Lineage: Bacteria
Description: partial 16S ribosomal RNA
Rfam family: Bacterial small subunit ribosomal RNA
Source: RNAcentral